UCUUGUUUAUGAUGGUUCAACUAUAAACCAAAAUUGUUGGUGGGUUGAACCUGAUAAGGCUCAUGC
Zootermopsis nevadensis is the source of this 66-nucleotide non-coding RNA. NCBI's taxonomy places the organism in Eukaryota, Metazoa, Arthropoda, Insecta, Blattodea, Termopsidae. The record is from Rfam.